Molecule: ribosomal RNA, 942 nt
Filed under: Actinomycetota bacterium
Lineage: Bacteria; Bacillati; Actinomycetota
Description: partial 23S ribosomal RNA
Rfam family: Bacterial large subunit ribosomal RNA
Source: RNAcentral
UGCCAAGUUAUUAAGGGCGUACGGCGGAUGCCUUGGCGCUGGGAGCCGACGAAGGACGUGGCAGGCUGCGAUAAGCCCCGGGUAGGAGCCAAACAUCCAUUGAUCCGGGGAUGUCCGAAUGGGGAAACCCGCCAGCGGUCAUGCGCUGGCACCCAGGUCUGAAUACAUAGGGCCUGGGAGGGAACCGGGUGAACUGAAACAUCUAAGUAACCCGAGGAAGAGAAAUCAAAUAGAGAGUCCCGGAGUAGCGGCGAGCGAAAUGGGAUCAGCCCAAACCUCUGUGGUGUGAAAGCCCGGUGGCGUUGCCACAGGGGAGUCGUGGGACCCAUCAGACCGUGCACCGGCGCGGUCGGGGAGUUACAAAGUCAGCGGUUAGUCGAACUUUUCUGGAAAGCUAGGCCAAAGAAGGUAAUAGCCCUGUAGAUAAAAACCGACUGACCUCCCGAUGGUGUUUCCAAGUAGCACGGAGCCCGAGGAAUUCCGUGUGAAUUUGCGGGGCCCACCCCGUAAGGCUAACUACUACCCAGCGACCGAUAGUGAACCAGUACCGUGAGGGAAAGGUGAAAAGUACCCCGGGAGGGGAGUGAAAUAGUACCUGAAACCGUGCGCUUACAAACAGUCGGAGGAGCCGUACAGACUUCGGUCUGUACGUCUGACGGCGUGCCUUUUGAAGAAUGAGCCGGCGAGUUAGCGAUGCGUGGCAAGGUUAAGACGAGAGUCGAAGCCGUAGCGAAAGCGAGUCUGAAUAGGGCGUUUAGUCGCGUGUUCUAGACCCGAAGCCGGGUGAUCUAUCCAUGGGCAGGCUGAAGCGAGGGUAAGACCUCGUGGAGGGCCGAACCCACCAGGGUUGAAAACCUGGGGGAUGACCUGUGGAUAGGGGUGAAAGGCCAAUCAAACCCGGUGAUAGCUGGUUCUCCCCGAAAUGCAUUUAGGUGCAGCGUC